Molecule: ribosomal RNA, 859 nt
Filed under: uncultured marine bacterium
Lineage: Bacteria
Description: bacterial SSU rRNA
Rfam family: Bacterial small subunit ribosomal RNA
Source: RNAcentral
AGAGUUUGAUCCUGGCUCAGAACGAACGCUGGCGGCAGGCUAACACAUGCAAGUCGAGCGCGCGUUCGGGUGAGCGGCGGACGGGUUAGUAACGCGUGGGAACGUGCCCUUUCUCUACGGAAUAGCCUCUGGAAACGGAGAGUAAUACCGUAUACGCCCUUUGGGGGAAAGAUUUAUCGGAGAAGGAUCGGCCCGCGUUAGAUUAGGUAGUUGGUGGGGUAACGGCCUACCAAGCCUACGAUCUAUAGCUGGUUUUAGAGGAUGAUCAGCAACACUGGGACUGAGACACGGCCCAGACUCCUACGGGAGGCAGCAGUGGGGAAUCUUAGACAAUGGGGGCAACCCUGAUCUAGCCAUGCCGCGUGAGUGAUGAAGGCCUUAGGGUCGUAAAGCUCUUUCGCCUGUGAUGAUAAUGACAGUAGCAGGUAAAGAAACCCCGGCUAACUCCGUGCCAGCAGCCGCGGUAAUACGGAGGGGGUUAGCGUUGUUCGGAAUUACUGGGCGUAAAGCGCGCGUAGGCGGAUUAGAAAGUUGGGGGUGAAAUCCCGGGGCUCAACCCCGGAACUGCCUCCAAAACUGCUAGUCUAGAGUUCGAGAGAGGUGAGUGGAAUUCCGAGUGUAGAGGUGAAAUUCGUAGAUAUUCGGAGGAACACCAGUGGCGAAGGCGGCUCACUGGCUCGAUACUGACGCUGAGGUGCGAAAGUGUGGGGAGCAAACAGGAUUAGAUACCCUGGUAGUCCACACCGUAAACGAUGAAUGCCAGUCGUCGGAUAGUAUACUAUUCGGUGACACACCUAACGGAUUAAGCAUUCCGCCUGGGGAGUACGGUCGCAAGAUUAAAACUCAAAGGAAUUGACGG